UACAAUAGAGUGUCUGAAAGAGAGCUCACAUGUACCAGGGGUAAUAGGGCUCUGGUACAUGUGAGCUCUCUCCCAGACACUCUCUUGUAUU
Non-coding RNA from Pelobates cultripes (western spadefoot toad), 91 nucleotides. The record is from the annotation of a GenBank genome assembly. NCBI's taxonomy places the organism in Eukaryota, Metazoa, Chordata, Amphibia, Anura, Pelobatidae.